ACUACCGAUUGAAUGGUUUAGUGAGGCCUCCUGAUUGACGCCGAUAUUCUGGCAACAGAGCGUCGGAUGUUGGGAAGUUGGUCAAACUUGAUCAUUUAGAGGAAGUAAAAGUCGUAACAAGGUUUCCGUAGGUGAACCUGCGGAAGGAUCAUUACCGAAAUGUUCAAACGCUAACAAUUUAAGUGCUACACUUAAAUCGUUUACCUUGUGAACCGUACCAAACCUUUAGGGGUCGGCCUCGGUCGUUAAAUGGCAGUUAUUAAAGUGUCGGUAGAGACGGCUUUUAUUUCUGCAGCCCCGGCAUCAUUUUUACUGUAAACGUUUUGAACUGAGAAGAUACGUAAAACGAGCAAAAGAAGACAACUUUUGACGGUGGAUCUCUUGGCUCGCGCAUCGAUGAAGAACGCAGCCAGCUGCGAUAAGUAGUGUGAAUUGCAGAAUUCAGUGAAUCAUCGAAUCUUUGAACGCAAAUGGCGCUCUUGGGUUCUCCCAGGAGCAUGUCUGUCUGAGUGUCGGAUUCCAUCAAUCGCAAGGUGCGCUUUGCGGCGUUGAGGCGUCACAGCUAUUUUACAUCACUAAGCCGUGUCCCUUGAAGUGCAGAGAGACUCUGCGGUACGAGACUAUGUUUCCUCGCGCCGUCAAGGAGGCUAAAGAGUUCUUUUGCCCUCCCCGUGCGCUUGGAGGUCUUGUGCCAUUUGGAGUCGUUUGUGUAACAACUUAUACUUCUUUCUUGACCUCAGAUCAGGCAAGGCUACCCGCUGAAUUUAAGCAUAUUAAUAAGCGGAGGAAAAGAAACUAACAAGGAUUCCCCUAGUAACGGCGAGUGAAGCGGGAAGAGCUCAAAUUUGAAAUCUCCGUUGCUUGCAACGGCGAAUUGUAGUUUCGAGAAGCACUUUCUCGGCGGAUCGGACUUGCCUAAGUUGCUUGGAACAGCACGUCGCAGAGGGUGACAACCCCGUCUGUGGCGAGUCCGGCCGCUCACGAUGUGCUUUCGAA
This 996-nucleotide ribosomal RNA is filed under the name Corynactis californica. Its description in RNAcentral is "eukaryotic LSU rRNA". The stretch from base 732 to 996 matches the Rfam family "Eukaryotic large subunit ribosomal RNA", at positions 1 to 261 of the family's 3401-position model. Lineage: Eukaryota; Metazoa; Cnidaria; Anthozoa; Corallimorpharia; Corallimorphidae. The record is from RNAcentral.